AAUCCAUAGGUUAAUGAGGCGAACCGGGGGAACUGAAACAUCUAAGUACCCCGAGGAAAAGAAAUCAACCGAGAUUCCCCCAGUAGCGGCGAGCGAACGGGGAGGAGCCCAGAGCCUGAAUCAGCAUGUGUGUUAGUGGAAGCGUCUGGAAAGGCGCGCGAUACAGGGUGACAGCCCCGUACACAAAAGCGCAUGUGCUGUGAGCUCGAUGAGUAGGGCGGGACACGUGGUAUCCUGUCUGAAUAUGGGGGGACCAUCCUCCAAGGCUAAAUACUCCUGACUGACCGAUAGUGAACCAGUACCGUGAGGGAAAGGCGAAAAGAACCCCGGCGAGGGGAGUGAAAAAGAACCUGAAACCGUGUACGUACAAGCAGUGGGAGCACAGGUUUACCUGUGUGACUGCGUACCUUUUGUAUAAUGGGUCAGCGACUUAUAUUCUGUAGCAAGGUUAACCGCAUAGGGGAGCCGGAGGGAAACCGAGUCUUAAUUGGGCGUUAAGUUGCAGGGUAUAGACCCGAAACCCGGUGAUCUAGCCAUGGGC
Molecule: ribosomal RNA, 541 nt
Filed under: Salmonella enterica
Lineage: Bacteria; Pseudomonadati; Pseudomonadota; Gammaproteobacteria; Enterobacterales; Enterobacteriaceae
Description: partial 23S ribosomal RNA
Rfam family: Bacterial large subunit ribosomal RNA
Source: RNAcentral